Molecule: ribosomal RNA, 447 nt
Filed under: uncultured bacterium
Lineage: Bacteria
Description: partial 16S ribosomal RNA
Rfam family: Bacterial small subunit ribosomal RNA
Source: RNAcentral
AGCGAACGCUGGCGGCAGGCUUAACACAUGCAAGUCGAACGCCCCGCAAGGGGAGUGGCAGGCGGGUGAGUAACACGUGGGAACGUACCCUUUGGUUCGGAAUAACUUGGGGAAACUCAAGCUAAUACCGGUUAAGCCCUUAUGGGGAAAGGUUUACUGCCGAAGGAUCGGCCCGCGUCUGAUUAGCUAGUUGGUGAGGUAAUGGCUCACCAAGGCGACGAUCAGUAGCUGGUCUGAGAGGAUGAUCAGCCACACUGGGACUGAGACACGGCCCAGACUCCUACGGGAGGCAGCAGUGGGGAAUAUUGGACAAUGGGGGCAACCCUGAUCCAGCCAUGCCGCGUGAGUGAUGAAGGCCUUAGGGUUGUAAAGCUCUUUUACCCGGGACGAUAAUGACUGUACCGGGAGAAUAAGCCCCGGCUAACUUCGUGCCAGCCGCCGCGGUAA